This 393-nucleotide ribosomal RNA is filed under the name uncultured bacterium. RNAcentral describes it as "partial 16S ribosomal RNA". It matches the Rfam family "Bacterial small subunit ribosomal RNA", at positions 523 to 918 of the family's 1533-position model. The record is from RNAcentral.
AUACGAGGGGUGCAAGCGUUGUUCGGAAUUACUGGGCGUAAAGGGAGCGUAGGCGGAGAUUCAAGCGGAUUGUACAAUCCCGGGGCCCAACCCCGGCUCUGCAGUCCGAACUGGAUCUCUUGGAUAGUUCAGGGGCAGGCGGAAUUCCUGGUGUAGCGGUGGAAUGCGUAGAGAUCAGGAAGAACACCGAUGGCGAAGGCAGCCUGCUGGGGACUUAUCGACGCUGAGGCUCGAAAGUGCGGGUAGCAAACAGGAUUAGAUACCCUGGUAGUCCGCACCGUAAACGAUGCAUACUGGGUGUCCGGGGGUUCCCCCGGGUACCGUAGCCAACGCGUUAAGUAUGCCGCCUGGGGAGUACGUACGCAAGUAUGGAACUCAAAUGAAUUGACGGGG